Molecule: ribosomal RNA, 301 nt
Filed under: uncultured bacterium
Lineage: Bacteria
Description: partial 16S ribosomal RNA
Rfam family: Bacterial small subunit ribosomal RNA
Source: RNAcentral
CAGUCGCCGCGGUAAUGCGUAGGGUGCAAGCGUUAAUCGGAAUUACUGGGCGUAAAGCGUGCGCAGGCGGUUAUAUAAGUCAGAUGUGAAAUCCCCGGGCUCAACCUGGGAACUGCAUUUGAGACUGUAUGGCUAGAGUGUGUCAGAGGGGGGUAGAAUUCCACAUGUAGCAGUGAAAUGCGUAGAUAUGUGGAGGAAUACCGAUGGCGAAGGCAGCCCCCUGGGAUAACACUGACGCUCAUGCACGGAAGCGUGGGGAGCAAACAGGAUUAGAGACCCCCGUAGUCCCUGUCUCUUAUAC